AGGGGAGCAGUACUUUUGACAAG
RNAcentral lists this microRNA (23 nucleotides) under Scyliorhinus torazame (cloudy catshark). RNAcentral's name for it is "Sto-Mir-281_5p* (star (passenger))". The record is from RNAcentral. Lineage: Eukaryota; Metazoa; Chordata; Chondrichthyes; Carcharhiniformes; Scyliorhinidae.